Magnolia sinica is the source of this 925-nucleotide long non-coding RNA. RefSeq lists it as uncharacterized. The record is from RefSeq and is a predicted model, not a curated record. NCBI's taxonomy places the organism in Eukaryota, Viridiplantae, Streptophyta, Magnoliopsida, Magnoliales, Magnoliaceae. The transcript is spliced from 2 exons.
CACUUUCUACCAAUAUAGCCAGAAUAGCAAGAAGAUAAUACAAUUACCAUAAAGUCCGCAUUAACAUAAGUGGUUCUGGUUGCAUCCCCCCUCAAGGGCUGUAUUUUUUACCUGACCAGACUUUCGGGUUUCUGACAAAGGUUUUCUUAUAGGUUGAAAAAAGAAGAAAAAGUAGAACAAGAAAAGGUAACAUAAAAGACAAAUCUACUAGCAGGCAGCCCUUACGAUUUGCUUAUGAGGAUAGAAAUGAGGAGUUAGAUGAUGAAGAGGUUGAGCAAUAUUUUCAAACACACAUACGCACACACUUUCUGGCAAGCAAGGGUCAGAACCCCUGCUAGCUUUUUAUGUCGGCACAAACACACAUGCAUACACAAAUUUUCUGGCAAGCAAGGGUCAAAACCAAGUUAGCUUUUCACGUCAGUGCAAACACAUGCGCUUGGUUUUGAAAGCCCCAAGGGGCUAUGCGGCCAAUUGAAAGUCCCAAUUACAACAGGUGUCUCUUACCUUAUUUCGGACGGUGCAGAAUCCACUGAACUGCACAGUUGCACCCAACAGAGAAUCAAUCAGGCUUCCACAUAACCCCGCCAUUGCAGCAAGGGGUAUUACCAAUAACUGCUUUAGAGCUACAUCAGUAGUGCAAGUUGCCGUCAGCAAUCCGAAGAUAACAAACGUCAGCCCAAUGACUCCACCUGCAGCUGCAGCUGCUAGGAGUCCUGUUGUCGUCACUCCACCAUUUGUACCCUUCCGAACUGGCUGAUCAGCAAUAUUAAGAAAGCAUAAUUAGACUCCUAGAAUAAAAUGAAUAAGUAAUGAGUAAAUUGCCCUUGUCUCAAUAGUUACGAGAUAAGCAAUUGAAAACUCAUUAAUGUAGAUAGCCACAUCUGUAGCCCAGUCUUUUGCUUCUACUUCUAAAAGAAAAAAAGAA